UUUCAUUUCUUCCCUGGUGUUUGCUUCUGGCAUCCUCACUUUGCCAGACUCUUUCUUAGGAAUCACACGGGCACCUCAGUAUUUCCCCCGCUGUGUGGUCCACAUCUCUCACCACUUGUCAAUCACAUUCUCUGUGCUGGGAUCGUGAUGGAGUCUGCUUUAUUUUCUUCUCACAGCAGCUUUACGAAUUAGCAAUAUCCUCAGUGUAUCAUCAAGAAACCCAAGGCUCAAAGGCAGCAUGUGUUUCCUUCUAAGGACAAAAGACCCACAGAGAAUGGAGCCUGAGGCUUGGCAGGGCACAGGGCAGCACCUGGGGCGUGGCCUGCAAUCGUUUUGGAGCGGGCGGCCAUUUCAACUGAGAUUGAAGGGGAGAAACUGCAUGCAACGCUGUGGAACACCUCUACGCUUCUCUCCUCACAGGGGGCCCCGACCUGGAAGUUUCUAGGGCUUCAGCUU
This is a long non-coding RNA of Chionomys nivalis (European snow vole), 456 nucleotides long. RefSeq lists it as uncharacterized. NCBI's taxonomy places the organism in Eukaryota, Metazoa, Chordata, Mammalia, Rodentia, Cricetidae. The record is from RefSeq and is a predicted model, not a curated record. The transcript is spliced from 3 exons.